This 74-nucleotide transfer RNA is filed under the name Candidatus Peregrinibacteria bacterium. RNAcentral describes it as "tRNA-Cys". It matches the Rfam family "tRNA". From Rfam's summary of the family: Transfer RNA (tRNA) molecules are approximately 80 nucleotides in length. Lineage: Bacteria; Candidatus Peregrinibacteriota. RNAcentral also lists the same sequence under 1 other name. The record is from RNAcentral.
GGCGACGUGGCCAAGUGGUAAGGCAGAAGCCUGCAAAGCUUUUAUCAUCGGUUCGAGUCCGAUCGUCGCCUCCA